Long non-coding RNA from Pan troglodytes (chimpanzee), 1110 nucleotides. RefSeq lists it as uncharacterized. The record is from RefSeq and is a predicted model, not a curated record. The transcript has 4 exons. Lineage: Eukaryota; Metazoa; Chordata; Mammalia; Primates; Hominidae.
UCCCAGAACUUUGCACAUAACUCCCUAUGUCAGAGUGGGCAGAAAGGACCGGCUGCUACAAACACCGUGUCUUUAUCUACCCGAAACUUUGUUCUCAGCUUCCUUCUCCCCUGACAUUCUCAGUACCUCUCUAUUCAUGAAAUCCUACCCAUUUAUUAAGGACCAGCUAAAGAAGAACAUCCUUCAUGAAACUUUUCUUGGAUCUCUUUUCUCCUCAACAGAAUCUAACUUCCUUGAGAUGAGAGACCAUGUCUUAAGUUUUUCCCUCUUCUGAGCCCACAUGACUUGGACAAGAGGUCACCUGUUUGCAGAAAGAGUCCCACUGGCUUGAAAACAGUGAUCUACUAACAAGAGCCAUUGGCUGGAUGUUAGAGAACCUGAAUCCUCCAGUCACUUCUUUGGACUAAUCACUGACAUUUUUGCAUUUUGGAUUGCCUUUGGCAGAUGAUGCUGGAAAGUGGCUGUCCCCCAAAGGCUACACUUCCUAGUAAGAAAUAAGCAGAAGUGAUGUGUGUCACUUCCAGUCUAAGUAGGACCCUCCUCCUCUUCAUUCCUUUUCCACUGGCUUGAUGUAGAGAAACAGUGGUCUUAGAAGCCACAUGUUGAAGACACUGGGUCCGUCACAUGGGAAGAGUCAGGGUUCCUGGUUUAAUGGCUGCAGGAAAGCAGCCUGCCAAUCAACAAUGUCCAUGCUGAACUUCACAUGAGUGCAAAAUAAAAUUCUAUUUUGUUUAAACCAUUAUCUAUUUUGGGCUUUGUUACAGCAGCUAGUAUUAUCCUAACUAGUAUGUUUGGAGAGAAGUCUACCAGUCUUGAAAAAGUUAAUUAUCAAUCCAUUAAAUGUCAAAAUGUCAGAAGCACUAAGUAAAUGCAUGUGGCAAUAUUUUCUUGUUUACCUAGUGCUUAUAUUCAAAGAACAUUAGGUUACGCUUACAUAAUAGGUUGGUGGUUCAAACCAUUCAUAAAUUUAAGUGCUGUGGGUUCCAGAGUAUGUGAGAAUAACAACAGAGACUGUCUUAGAAUCUUUAAGGUGCUUAUUGAGUAGGAAUUCAGUUAUGGGGAAAGGAAGGGCUUAGAGGAGACGAUCAUUUAUCAUUAUGACAAAUACCA